This 465-nucleotide ribosomal RNA is filed under the name Vreelandella stevensii. Its description in RNAcentral is "partial 16S ribosomal RNA". It matches the Rfam family "Bacterial small subunit ribosomal RNA", at positions 338 to 795 of the family's 1533-position model. Lineage: Bacteria; Pseudomonadati; Pseudomonadota; Gammaproteobacteria; Oceanospirillales; Halomonadaceae. The record is from RNAcentral.
CCUACGGGAGGCUGCAGUGGGGAAUAUUGGACAAUGGGCGAAAGCCUGAUCCAGCCAUGCCGCGUGUGUGAAGAAGGCCUUCGGGUUGUAAAGCACUUUCAGUGGGGAAGAAAGCCUUGGGGCUAAUACCCUCGAGGAAGGACAUCACCCACAGAAGAAGCACCGGCUAACUCCGUGCCAGCAGCCGCGGUAAUACGGAGGGUGCGAGCGUUAAUCGGAAUUACUGGGCGUAAAGCGCGCGUAGGCGGUCUGAUAAGCCGGUUGUGAAAGCCCCGGGCUCAACCUGGGAACGGCAUCCGGAACUGUCAGGCUAGAGUGCAGGAGAGGAAGGUAGAAUUCCCGGUGUAGCGGUGAAAUGCGUAGAGAUCGGGAGGAAUACCAGUGGCGAAGGCGGCCUUCUGGACUGACACUGACGCCGAGGUGCGAAAGCGUGGGUAGCAAACAGGAUUAGAUACCCGUGUAGUC